UACGGGGGGGGCAAGCGUUGUUCGGAAUUACUGGGCGUAAAGGGCUCGUAGGUGGCCAACUAAGUCGGACGUGAAAUCCCUCGGCUUAACCGGGGAACUGCGUCCGAUACUGGAUGGCUUGAGUUUGGGAGAGGGAUGCGGAAUUCCAGGUGUAGCGGUGAAAUGCGUAGAUAUCUGGAGGAACACCGGUGGCGAAGGCGGCAUCCUGGACCAACACUGACACUGAGGAGCGAAAGCCGGGGGAGCAAACGGG
This 253-nucleotide ribosomal RNA is filed under the name uncultured bacterium. RNAcentral's name for it is "partial 16S ribosomal RNA". It matches the Rfam family "Bacterial small subunit ribosomal RNA", at positions 524 to 776 of the family's 1533-position model. The record is from RNAcentral.